UACGGAGGGGGCUAGCGUUGCUCGGAAUCACUGGGCGUAAAGCGCACGUAGGCGGCUUCUUAAGUCAGGGGUGAAAUCCUGGAGCUCAACUCCAGAACUGCCUUUGAUACUGAGGAGCUUGAGUCCGGGAGAGGUGAGUGGAACUGCGAGUGUAGAGGUGAAAUUCGUAGAUAUUCGCAAGAACACCAGUGGCGAAGGCGGCUCACUGGCCCGGUACUGACGCUGAGGUGCGAAAGCGUGGGGAGCAAACAGG
RNAcentral lists this ribosomal RNA (253 nucleotides) under uncultured bacterium. RNAcentral's name for it is "partial 16S ribosomal RNA". It matches the Rfam family "Bacterial small subunit ribosomal RNA", at positions 524 to 776 of the family's 1533-position model. The record is from RNAcentral.